RNAcentral lists this ribosomal RNA (502 nucleotides) under uncultured Glomeromycotina. RNAcentral describes it as "partial small subunit ribosomal RNA". It matches the Rfam family "Eukaryotic small subunit ribosomal RNA", at positions 591 to 1092 of the family's 1831-position model. The record is from RNAcentral. Lineage: Eukaryota; Fungi; Glomeromycota.
CCAAUAGCGUAUAUUAGUGUUGUUGCGGUUAAAAAGCUCGUAGUUGAAUUUCGGGAUUGGGAUAUAUCGGUCAUGCCUUUAGGGACAUGAAUCGGUGUGUGAUCAAUUCUCACCUUCUGGUGAAUUGGGAUGCUCUUGGGUGUUUCGAUGAACUAGGACAUUUACUUUGAAAAAAUUAGAGUGUUUAAAGCGGGCAUUUUUGCUUGAAUACAUUAGCAUGGAAUAAUAAAAUAGUACGAUGGUUCUAUUUUGUUGGUUUUAGGACCACGUAAUGAUUAAUAGGGAUAGUUGGGGGCAUUAGUAUUCAAUUGUCAGAGGUGAAAUUCUUGGAUUUAUUGAGGACUAACUACUGCGAAAGCAUUUGCCAAGGAUGUUUUCAUUAAUCAAGAACGAAAGUUAGGGGAUCGAAGACGAUUUAUGCACGUCGUAGUCUUAACCAUAAACUAUGCCGACUAGGAAUCAGACAAAGUUAAUUUUUUAACGACUUGUUUGGUACCUUACG